UGGGGAAUAUUGGACAAUGGGCGCAAGCCUGAUCCAGCCAUGCCGCGUGAGUGACGAAGGCCUUAGGGUUGUAAAGCUCUUUUGGCGGGGAAGAUAAUGACGGUACCCGCAGAAUAAGCUCCGGCUAACUUCGUGCCAGCAGCCGCGGUAAUACGAAGGGAGCUAGCGUUGUUCGGAAUCACUGGGCGUAAAGCGCACGUAGGCGGACUUUCAAGUCAGGGGUGAAAUCCCGGGGCUCAACCUCGGAACUGCCUUUGAUACUGUUGGUCGCGAGUCCGGAAGAGNUGAGUGGAAUUCCUAGUGUAGAGGUGAAAUUCGUAGAUAUUAGGAAGAACACCGGUGGCGAAGGCGGCUCACUGGUCCGGUACUGACGCUGAGGUGCGAAAGCGUGGGGAGCAAACA
Molecule: ribosomal RNA, 402 nt
Filed under: uncultured bacterium
Lineage: Bacteria
Description: bacterial SSU rRNA
Rfam family: Bacterial small subunit ribosomal RNA
Source: RNAcentral